Molecule: non-coding RNA, 114 nt
Organism: Acyrthosiphon pisum (pea aphid)
Lineage: Eukaryota; Metazoa; Arthropoda; Insecta; Hemiptera; Aphididae
Source: Rfam
GUCGGUUACGGUGACAUGGCCCCGAAAACUUACGUGGGCAUGUUCGUCGGUGCCCUGUGCGCGCUGGCCGGUGUGCUCACCAUCGCCCUGCCCGUUCCCGUCAUCGUGUCCAAC